Molecule: transfer RNA, 73 nt
Filed under: Gemmatimonadales bacterium
Lineage: Bacteria; Pseudomonadati; Gemmatimonadota; Gemmatimonadia; Gemmatimonadales
Description: tRNA-Val
Rfam family: tRNA
About the family: Transfer RNA (tRNA) molecules are approximately 80 nucleotides in length. Their secondary structure includes four short double-helical elements and three loops (D, anti-codon, and T loops).
Source: RNAcentral
GGGCGAAUAGCUCAGCGGUGAGAGCGCCUGCCUUACACGCAGGAAGUCGGGGGUUCGAAUCCCUCUUCGCCCA